GAUGAACGCUGGCGGCGUGCCUAAUACAUGCAGGUAGAACGCUGAAGGAGGAGCUUGCUCUUCUGGAUGAGUUGCGAACGGGUGAGUAACGCGUAGGUAACCUGCCUGGUAGCGGGGGAUAACUAUUGGAAACGAUAGCUAAUACCGCAUGACAACAGUUAUUGCAUGAUAACUGUUUAAAAGGGGCAACUGCUCCACUACCAGAUGGACCUGCGUUGUAUUAGCUAGUUGGUGAGGUAACGGCUCACCAAGGCGACGAUACAUAGCCGACCUGAGAGGGUGAUCGGCCACACUGGGAAUGAGACACGGCCCAGACUCCUACGGGAGGCAGCAGGAGGGAAUCUUCGGCAAUGGACGGAAGUCUGAACGAGCAACGCCGCGGGAGUGAAGAAGGGUUUCGGAUCGUAAAGCUCUGUUGUAAGAGAAGAACGAGUGUGAGAGUGGAAAGUUCACACUGUGACGGUAUCUUACCAGAAAGGGACGGCUAACUACGUG
This 495-nucleotide ribosomal RNA is filed under the name uncultured bacterium. Its description in RNAcentral is "partial 16S ribosomal RNA". It matches the Rfam family "Bacterial small subunit ribosomal RNA", at positions 28 to 507 of the family's 1533-position model. The record is from RNAcentral.